This 497-nucleotide ribosomal RNA is filed under the name uncultured bacterium. Its description in RNAcentral is "partial 16S ribosomal RNA". It matches the Rfam family "Bacterial small subunit ribosomal RNA", at positions 28 to 507 of the family's 1533-position model. The record is from RNAcentral.
GAUGAACGCUGGCGGCGUGCCUAAUACAUGCAAGUCGAGCGAACGGACGAGAAGCUUGCUUCUCUGAUGUUAGCGGCGGACGGGUGAGUAACACGUGGAUAACCUACCUAUAAGACUGGGAUAACUUCGGGAAACCGGAGCUAAUACCGGAUAAUAUUUUGAACCGCAUGGUUCAAAAGUGAAAGACGGUCUUGCUGUCACUUAUAGAUGGAUCCGCGCUGCAUUAGCUAGUUGGUAAGGUAACGGCUUACCAAGGCAACGAUGCAUAGCCGACCUGAGAGGGUGAUCGGCCACACUGGAACUGAGACACGGUCCAGACUCCUACGGGAGGCAGCAGUAGGGAAUCUUCCGCGAUGGGCGAAAGCCUGACGGAGCAACGCCGCGUGAGUGAUGACGGUCUUCGGAUCGUAAAACUCUGUUAUUAGGGAAGAACAUAUGUGUAAGUAACUGUGCACAUCUUGACGGUACCUAAUCAGAAAGCCACGGCUAACUACGUG